RNAcentral lists this ribosomal RNA (580 nucleotides) under uncultured bacterium. RNAcentral's name for it is "bacterial SSU rRNA". It matches the Rfam family "Bacterial small subunit ribosomal RNA", at positions 57 to 637 of the family's 1533-position model. The record is from RNAcentral.
GCAGUCGACGAACACUUCUGAAUGGAGAUUCGUCAAAGUUCAGAAUUGACUUAGUGGCGGACGGGUGAGUAAUGCAUGAGCAACCUGCCCUGCAGUGGGGGACAACAGUUGGAAACGACUGCUAAUACCGCAUGAUGUAUCUGGAAGGCAUCUUCCGGAUACCAAAGAUUUAUCGCUGUGGGAUGGGCUCAUGUCUGAUUAGUUAGUUGGUGGGGUAACGGCCUACCAAGACUGCGAUCAGUAGCCGGACUGAGAGGUUGAACGGCCACAUUGGGACUGAGAUACGGCCCAGACUCCUACGGGAGGCAGCAGUGGGGAAUAUUGGGCAAUGGGCGAAAGCCUGACCCAGCAACGCCGCGUGAAGGAAGAAGGUCUUCGGAUUGUAAACUUCUUUUAUGAGGGACGAAGGAAGUGACGGUACCUCAUGAAUAAGCCACGGCUAACUACGUGCCAGCAGCCGCGGUAAUACGUAGGUGGCAAGCGUUGUCCGGAUUUACUGGGUGUAAAGGGCGCGUAGGCGGGAUGGCAAGUCAGAUGUGAAAUCCAUGGGCUCAACCCAUGAACUGCAUUUGAAACUGUC